This 392-nucleotide ribosomal RNA is filed under the name uncultured bacterium. RNAcentral describes it as "partial 16S ribosomal RNA". It matches the Rfam family "Bacterial small subunit ribosomal RNA", at positions 523 to 918 of the family's 1533-position model. The record is from RNAcentral.
AUACGGAGGAUCCGAGCGUUAUCCGGAUUUAUUGGGUUUAAAGGGUGCGCAGGCGGCCAUUUAAGUCAGCGGUUAAAUCGUGGGGCUCAACCCCAUUCUGCCGUUGAUACUGGGUGGCUUGAUUGCGGUCGAGGUUGGCGGAAUUCGUUGUGUAGCGGUGAAAUGCAUAGAUAUGACGAAGAACACCGAUUGCGUAGGCAGCUGACCAGACCGCAAAUGACGCUCAUGCACGAAAGUGCGGGGAUCGAACAGGAUUAGAUACCCUGGUAGUCCACACAGUAAACGAUGAAUACUUGUUUUCGGCGAUAUAAUGUCGGAGGCAAAGCGAAAGCGAUAAGUAUUCCACCUGGGGAGUACGCCGGCAACGGUGAAACUCAAAUGAAUUGGCGGGG